AGCCUCCUCUGGACUGAAAACCCAUACACACACUGGGAGCUCACACCUGUGUCCCACCAGGCCCUGGACCUCAGCAUUUUCCAGCACCAGAGGGACUGAUAAGAGGCUGAGUGAGCCGAGAUAUACCCCAUGACAAGGACCUUCUGGAUUUACCAUCUCUUUGAACAACAUCCUGUGGACCUGUGGAAAAAUAAUCCUACUUUUUGAUGGAUGGAAUAUGUUCAAAGUAGCAUUCUUGUAUGGAGUAUACAAUUAACUGUCUUGGUAACCUGAAAACCAAUAGCACCUCUCCAAGACCAAAAGAGCUGUGACCCAAAUAUUCAAAGGAGAGUUGAAGUGAGACUCCAGACAGAGUGCUACCAAACAGAUUGAUAUGAGAAGGCUGCACAUCGGAAACAGCAGAAGAUCUAACUAAAUACCUUAAAAGUCCUUUUGUUUUAGUGGCAUAUUGUGUAAGUGUUUUCUGAGCAGCAGAAAGAACCAGGUUGGGGCACUGAUGGUAAGUAAAAGUAUGACGGCCAAAAUAGGAGUUCUCAGGUUACGAUGGUUCCACUGCCAGGUUCAGGGUGCAGUAAUGCAAGCAGCUGAACUUACUCAGCUGAGGGCUCCUUUUCCAAGGAGGUGGAAAGUGCAAUAGCAAAACAUAGAAUUAAAUUUCUAACUGGAGGUUAAUGGUUCCCACUAGUAAGCAUUGAUAGGAAAAGUAUGAUGAAAAUCAAAAGAGAUUUUUCUUGUCACAUCUCAAUUCUCUCAGAUAUAAAAAUAAUGAACUGAAACAAGGGUUUCUGCUCUGUACACUCAACAAUUUGUGGUUGAUUAAGCAAACAAAAUGUGAUUAUCAUGGAAUGUCAAAUCAUAUCUCCUAGGGAAAUGUUAAGUGACACAGAACUGGGUCCAAUGACACAAAAAGAGAGGUGUUAUGCAGCAGAGUAAUGUGUUGUCAGUAGAACAACCGUACUAAAAAUGAAAGUGAAAGAGCUAAUUCACAAAACAUAAUCUAAAUUUUAAAAUGAAAGAUAGCCUGUGAAAUGCUACAGUACAGUAAUGAUAUCACACAGUAAAUACUGAUGACUUCCAACUUACCUAGAAAUCUUUCCAUGUUUUUGAAUUUUGAAAUGAGAACAAAAUUUCUCAAAUAUGAUUGUGUAUUUGCAUUCAUUUUGCUGGAUUUGAUUGAUAGGAAAAAGCAUUGCUUUCAAUGACAGAGAGAACAUACAGGUUUUCAAAAUGUUAUCUGACAGCUAGGGCUAUAAUUUCUGGUUUUAUGUCAACUUUAAAGAUUAAAAAUCUUAAGCACCAGAUGAAAAAAAAGCACAUAUGCCAGGUGGUCAAUUUAUUUCCAUUUGCAAGCCAGAGAUGGCAUUUAGCUUUAGAGCCUCAGGAACAACCAACAGAGGAACAGAGGUAAAAAGAGUAAGCAGUACAAAGAUGAGAAAUCAGCAUUACCAACAAAUAAUGUAGUUCCUGCUGCAGAUGGAAUAUUUUUCCUUUCCAGAUGAAAAAUUUUCUUUUUGUGUUUUAUAUAGGUUAUUUGUAUCAAUUUGUCAAUGUUCAACCAUCAGUAUGGCCCCAUACACUACAUCUGUUUUUUGACUUGUCAAGGCAAUGUUUAUGUCAAAGACAAUAUAUUACUUUCCAUUAAAAUCUCAGCAACUUGGAUUUUUAUAAAAAAGUUUUCCAUCAGGGAUUUCUAAAACAGCUGGGGAGAAGUAGGAAGGUGCAAAGGUUCUUCACAGUUGACUUAAGAAACUCAGUCACAGAUUCAAUUCCUCUCUUGCUCUGUAUUUAGAGCUCUAACAAUAAUUUUUUUUAAAGCACAUUUUGAAUGCUGAGAAAUCAUUUAUCUAGAGUUACGAAACAAGAAUCCUCUGUGCAUUACAUGCCAAUUAUCUAACUUUUAAUAUAUUAUCUUUCAUCCUAAAUCAAACAUAUAUAACUUUUUGGAAGUUCUAAUAACUUAAUGAUAAUUCAAUUCUAACUAUUAAAAUGAUUGCAAAUGCUCUCAAAUACCUGUUUUGUGUCUCUCCUUAUCAUGUGUUAGUCUUAUAGGACAGCCCAAAUUUAAGCACCAAGCAUGCAAAUCCCACAGAGCUAAAGAAAAACUCACUUUUUUUUUUUUUUUUCUCUGUAGGAGACAGAAUAUUUAAGAGUGGUUUGGACUUCAGCAUGAGGAGAAUGAUGAAUGUCAGUGUUUUGAACCAGGUUGCCAAGUCAAGAUUUCCUCAAAGAGAGUAUCUUGCUGUCAGAUCCCUUCUGAUUUCUCAAGUUUAUCCCUUUGAACAUAUCAUCCAACAUUAAAAUGGAACGAUAUCAUAUACUUAAAUUGUUUAAAAAUAAUUUAAGUAGGCUAUAAAGUGUACUUUCAGCUGUCUGCAAAAGUCAGUGGAAACGAAAACCCACUUUAUUUUUCCAAUACAGUAUAUAAACUCUUUGAAGCAGAUAUAAAUUUUAGAACAUUUACAUUUUCAAUGCCUUCUAGGACACAGUGGUAUUUUUAGAAGAAUUCAGUCAUACACAGGUUUCACUGGGAUACAAAACAGACUGUCAGAGUGCUGUAAGAAAACUUAUACAGAAACAAUAAUUCAUCUGUUAAAAUACUGGUAUAACACACCCAUCAGAAUUCUUCUUCCAUCUUUCUUUUCACAAAGCAUCCCACAUAUUUACUAUGUAAACAUAUUUUAUUAACUACAUAGAGAUGUAAAUAAUCUUUUUGCACAUUAGAAGUAAAUGUUACAGAAUAGUAGUUCAUAUGAAAGUAUCAUCUUUCUGCUUACAAAACAUUUUUACUCUAGGGACAGUUAAAGCAGAAAGUCUGCACAAUGCAUGUCUGAAGGAAACCCUGCAUUUUCAGGUCUAAUGAAGGGAAUCCCACUGCUACACCAACAGCUUUCAUAAUCCUGAACACACCAUGUCCUACUGUAAGCCUGUCUGGGAUGGUUCCUUGCACUGAUACAAACAUUUUAGCUGAAGUCAAUUGUUACCUUGGGCUCCACUUGAAAUUGUAAAGCAUCCUGAGAACGACUGCUGUAAAGCAGGGUCCUAUUCUCUAAAGUUAAUAGAAUUAUACUGUAUAAAUAAAAGGAUUACCAGAAUAACCACUGAUUUUUCCAGGCUCAUACCUGGCUACAAAUGAGCUAAUAGGAAUGAAACGUUCCUCUGCCUGCUUCUAUUCUCAGUUUGUCCACAAAACAUUUGUCAAGAAAAUAAUUCCAUUGUUUUGAAAUAUCAGAUAGAUGUACUGGAGGCUAAAAUUUGCACAGAAAAGUUUUUGGUGCUGUGCCAACAUGCUGUGAAAUUUUAUAUUGUAAGAAGCAAGUUGGCUGCAUUGCUUGCAGAGCUCAGUGUCAAUACAGAUGAGAUGAUGUCUCAAAUAGGCUUGUCAGUUUUAAGGAUGCAAUUUCUUCCUGCGACUGUUCCAAAUUUUUCCAAAUGGUCAUGCAGGGCCUUCAAAGAUGUUUUCUAUGUAAUAUGUUCCUCUUCUUAUCCUCAACACAAAAAUAUCUUCACAAUAAAACUCCUACUUCUGGCUUUUAA
This is a long non-coding RNA of Parus major (Great Tit), 3534 nucleotides long. RefSeq lists it as uncharacterized. The record is from RefSeq and is a predicted model, not a curated record. Lineage: Eukaryota; Metazoa; Chordata; Aves; Passeriformes; Paridae. The transcript is spliced from 3 exons.